ACUACGGCAAGCGGGAUAUUCAAUGCAUUUCUUGCUUCAGCAUCCUCUGUAAAAUACAAAAAGGGACUUGUUUCAGUGCAGUUCUAAUAUUCAGUUAACUUUUUUCACUUCCAUGUACAGUGUUUAACAAAUCUAUUAGACCACCUGUCCUAAAAACUGUUAAAGACAAACAUUUUAGAACUCUGUCAGGAACUCAUUUUAAGAUUAUAUUCUUAUGAGCUUUUCUUUUGGAUGUUUUUAUGCCAAUGUUUUAAGCCUAUUAACCAUUACAGAAACAUAAAAAAGGAUUCUGGUAAUGCUGUGUCAUAAACCCUACAUUGGGUGAUCUAAUAUAUUUUUUAUGCACCGGAAGACCACUAUGGGUUUUCCUAGUCUGUUUUAGACCUGCAGAAAGGAAGUUAGCACUGCUUACACAUACCCUGUGGUCUCUCUAAAGACCUCAGCCUCUCAAAAAAUGUUCCUUGUCAUAAUUCUUCUUUGUGUCAAAGUCUGAAACCUGCAAGCUUUACAGAAAAUAAAUUUUACAUUAAACCAAUCUAACCACAGAAUGUCUAGAGUUGUACAAUACACAAAUAUAAAGGCAAUGCAAGUGAAGCCAGAUGUGUUCACCUCUUUUGUGUUUGAACACAGAGGCAACUUUCAGUGUCUGACUUUCCCCUAGAAUAACAUUUGGUGGUAGUGGAAACUCAACUUUCACCUACUCCACUCUAAAAGCUUCCAAACCACUGGCAGUCCCAACUUUUGUCUUUGAUACAAAGAGAGAGAGGGAGAGAGAAGUUGAUAUGGAAAGUGUCGUUAUUGCCCCCUUCUUCCUGUUUCCAUGGCUCGACUACCCCCUCAGUCAUGCUAAAUCAUUCCUUUUGUUGUUACUUCAGGUGUGUAAGGAAUGCUUGUGUUUUUAUGUGACCUGAAAACUUCGAAAUGAGUAAUUCACCUGUAAUUACGAGCUCCCAUUUCUGUUCCUCGACUCCCUUUAAUGCAGAGAAUUCACAAGUGUAGUUUCCCGUGUGCGAACUCUGGGCUCUCGUUAUGGUUAAUGCAUACAGUUGGUUCUUUAACAUGGACACGUUCAGCUUCAGGCUCUCAGCUUUAGAGGACGUUACACAUCUGACCUUUGAGUCCUUUGAGCUGCUGUUAAAGGUUUCAUCUGGCCUGAUAGUGAACAGAAUAUCCCCAUUCAUUUUCCACGCCAGUUGAGUUAAGUUGCUAAUUGAGUCAUUGCUACAGUUCAGGGUCACUGUGCUCCCAGCUGUCCGUGAGAUCCUGUGUGUUUCUGAUAAAAAAGAAAAUCAUAUUGUAGGUUUCGUUUUUGCUGGAGUGUCGUAAAUAGAAUACUAAAGCAACAGGAAAACAAAACUAUUCCUCAAAAAUGCUGAACACAGCUCAAAAUGUCUAUAAAAAGAAAAUUAAUUGAUUUGUAAAUCAUUAAAACUCUACAUACUCUACAUUUUUAUUAUUCAUUGCUUGCAUACUAUUUUAAUUACUUAUAGAGAUUAAGUAACUUUAACAUAGUCAUGUUUGCAUAUCAAAGUGUAGGGAACAGGGCCAAUUUCCUCCACAAAAAGUGCAUUAAAGUUUAAGUAGCAGUCUUCUGCCGAUUAAAGCUGUCGUAACUGAACUGAAAAUCAAUCAAAAUCAAAAAGCUAAAACUACAACUCGCCCACAUAUUCAGCUUAUCGUUGCUGUUCUGUGGGUCACAUAUUUUCCACAUUUUCAAACUGUUCUCAUAGGCUCUUCACAUUGUCAGAGAGAGCUCAAAUUCAUUUUACCUGCUUGCAAGAAAAUAUAGAAGAAGCAGCAUAUUAGAGUCAAGGUCCAGUUGAUGCCCAAAUAUCUUGAAAACCCUUCCAUGGCAACCAGUAUCGAUUGCCAUAUGCUGUUUGGUCCUUAUCUCAAUAUGACAACAGCUUUAAGGUCACAAAAACAAGAAAAGGCAAUAUCUAAUAGCUAUAGUAAUUAGCAGGUACAGCUUCUAUGGCGGACUUACGUGCAUAGCGUUAAGAUACAGUCUUGCUGGCGUUCUUUCACAAUACCACAGAUACAUUUCC
Molecule: long non-coding RNA, 2048 nt
Organism: Oreochromis aureus
Lineage: Eukaryota; Metazoa; Chordata; Actinopteri; Cichliformes; Cichlidae
Source: Ensembl